GGCACGGUAGUUGAGUGGUUAAAGCGCUUAUAGCUAUUUACUCGGUAGCGAAUAUCGGUGGUUCAAAUCCAUCCCGGAGCAAGUUA
This 86-nucleotide transfer RNA is filed under the name Rhamnusium bicolor. Its description in RNAcentral is "tRNA-OTHER". Lineage: Eukaryota; Metazoa; Arthropoda; Insecta; Coleoptera; Cerambycidae. The record is from RNAcentral.